RNAcentral lists this long non-coding RNA (933 nucleotides) under Capsicum annuum. Its description in RNAcentral is "long non-coding RNA (CANN_LNC004849)". Lineage: Eukaryota; Viridiplantae; Streptophyta; Magnoliopsida; Solanales; Solanaceae. The record is from RNAcentral.
UAUCUUGUUGGUUUUCCUUACCACGGCAACGACCUCUGUCCCUCAAAUAGAGUGUGGUAAUAAAUUUCAGAGUGAAUAAAAAUUAAGGGUGUUUUCGUCCCUUUAAUUAGCAACUUGAAGUUUGAUACUUACCUUGAUGGAUUUUGAAUUGUUGGCGCAUAGGAAAAGCUUUGUGCAGAAAAAGAACUACAUGAACAAAAGGAAAAGAAAUAUGUUCCUACAUUGAAAGAGAAAAGAGACUUGAGGGUGUGAAUUAAUUUCCUUGAUGAAUGAAGGAAUAAGAAUCAUUUGGAGAAGCUGAUGCGUUACAAUAUGAAGAAGAAUUGGUAGGUUUUCUUAAUCGAUGGGUAUUCUUUAAUUUAGCUAAAUCAGUAAUUAUUAAUUUUAUGAGAUAAAUAGGAGAGAAAGAGGGAAAAAAUUCAAAAAUUGGAAAAAAGGAUAAAUGCCAUUUUAGAUCAGUUAAGCAUGCCACAUUUGACAUUACUAGUUCUAUUAGGGUUCAACAGGCUUAUAUUUCUCCUUUAUAUUAAUAUAUAGACUCUGGUCAAGGUUGUAAGUAAGGUGAUCUUUCAAGUUCUCUAUAUCUUAAUAGUCAGUAUUGACAUUACUAGUUCUAUUAAGGUUCAACGGUCCGGGUUCAAGACGAUGAUCGCUGAAAGUGCUAGCUUAAGGAAGAUAUCCUCUUGAUGGAAUGCGCUCUUAGCUUUUUGCUUGAGAGUAGGACUUGUGAAGUCAAAGAUUUCAACACUGCUCGACUUGGCUAUUGAAGAAGCUCUUUGCCUUUAGGCACCAGGAGUAUGCAAAAGAUAGCACAUCAAGAUAGUCUUUACAGUCAAGUGCUUUCCGCUCCCGAACUAUUAUGCGAGUUUAGCCACCACCUCCGGAUCCGUGCUCUGCUCGAGAGUAGUCAGCCAACUUCCUGACUUUGCUUAG